Long non-coding RNA from Oncorhynchus keta (chum salmon), 793 nucleotides. RefSeq lists it as uncharacterized. NCBI's taxonomy places the organism in Eukaryota, Metazoa, Chordata, Actinopteri, Salmoniformes, Salmonidae. The transcript is spliced from 6 exons. The record is from RefSeq and is a predicted model, not a curated record.
UAGUAUGUAAAUAUCUGACCUUUGAAUACACUAAGGGGAGAGAAGUGAAACUCUUAGUUGGAUUGCAUGUUUGACUCCUGGUAUGAGGGACAUCUCUCUCCUUCUCCACCAUAAUGACAUAAUUAGAUUUAAGGAGGUCCAUCUCUCUCCUUCUCCACCAUAAUUACAUAAUUAGAUUUAAGGAGGUCCAUCUCUCUCCUUCUCCACCAUAAUGACAUAAUUAGAUUUAAGGAGGUCCAUCUCUCUCCUUCUCCACCAUAAUUACAUAAUUAGAUUUAAGGAGGUCCAUCUCUCCCCAUCUCCACCAUAAUGACAUAAUUAGAUUUAAGGAGGUCCAUCUCUCUCCUUCUCCACCAUAAUUACAUAAUUAGAUUUAAGGAGGUCCAUCUCUCCCCAUCUCCACCAUAAUGACAUAAUUAGAUUUAAGGAGGUUCAUCUCUCACCGUCUCCACCAUCAUUACAUAAUUAGAUUUAAGGAGGUUCAUCUCUCACCGUCUCCACCAUCAUUACAUAAUUAGAUUUACGGAGGUCCAUCUCUCCCCAUCUCCACCAUAAUGACAUAAUUAGAUUUAAGGAGGUUCAUCUCUCACCGUCUCCACCAUCAUUACAUAAUUAGAUUUACGGAGGAACAUCUCUCACCGUCUCCACCAUCAUUACAUAAUUAGAUUUAAGGAGGUUCAUCUCUCACCGUCUCCACCAUCAUUACAUAAUUAUAUUUAAGGAGGUUCAUCUCUCACCGUCUCCACCAUCAUUACAUAAUUAGCUUUAAGGAAGAACAUCUCACACCAUUUCC